UACGGGGGGAGCAAGCGUUGUUCGGAUUUACUGGGCGUAAAGGGCGCGUAGGCGGCCAGUGCAAGUCAGUUGUGAAAUCUCCGAGCUUAACUCGGAAAGGUCAACUGAUACUGCUCGGCUAGAGUGCGGAAGGGGCAACUGGAAUUCUUGGUGUAGCGGUGAAAUGCGUAGAUAUCAAGAGGAACACCUGCGGCGAAGGCGGGUUGCCGGGCCGACACUGACGCUGAAGUGCGAAAGCUAGGGGAGCGAACGGG
RNAcentral lists this ribosomal RNA (254 nucleotides) under uncultured bacterium. Its description in RNAcentral is "partial 16S ribosomal RNA". It matches the Rfam family "Bacterial small subunit ribosomal RNA", at positions 524 to 776 of the family's 1533-position model. The record is from RNAcentral.